GCAUAUCAAUAAGCGGAGGAAAAGAAACCAACAGGGAUUGCCCUAGUAACGGCGAAGUGAAGCGGCAACAGCUCAAAUUUGAAAUCUGGCCCUCGGGUCCGAGUUGUAAUUUGUAGAGGAUGCUUUUGGUGCGGUGCCUUCCGAGUUCCCUGGAACGGGACGCCAUAGAGGGUGAGAGCCCCGUCUGGUUGGACACCAAGCCUCUGUAAAGCUCCUUCGACGAGUCGAGUAGUUUGGGAAUGCUGCUCUAAAUGGGAGGUAUAUGUCUUCUAAAGCUAAAUACCGGCCAGAGACCGAUAGCGCACAAGUAGAGUGAUCGAAAGAUGAAAAGCACUUUGAAAAGAGGGUUAAAUAGUACGUGAAAUUGUUGAAAGGGAAGCGCUUGUGACCAGACUUGAGCCCGGUUAAUCAUCCAGCCUUCUGGCUGGUGCACUUGGCCGGCUCAGGCCAGCAUCAGUUCGGCGCGGGGGAUAAAGGCUUCGGGAAUGUGGCUCCUCCGGGAGUGUUAUAGCCCGUUGUGUAAUACCCUGUACUGGACUGAGGUUCGCGCAUCUGCAAGGAUGCUGGCGUAAUGGUCAUCAGCGACCCGUCUUGAAACACGGACCAAGGAGUCGUCUUCGUAUGCGAGUGUUCGGGUGUCAAACCCCUACGCGUAAUGAAAGUGAACGCAGGUGAGAGCUUCGGCGCAUCAUCGACCGAUCCUGAUGUUCUCGGAUGGAUUUGAGUAAGAGCAUACGGGGCCGGACCCGAAAGAAGGUGAACUAUGCCUGUAUAGGGUGAAGCCAGAGGAAGACUCUGGUGGAGGCUCGCAGCGGUUUCUGACGUGCAAAUCGAUCGUCAAAUAUGGGCAUGGGGGCGAAAGACUAAUCGAACCUUCUAGUAGCUGGUUUCCGCCGA
Molecule: ribosomal RNA, 897 nt
Filed under: Cosmospora berkeleyana
Lineage: Eukaryota; Fungi; Ascomycota; Sordariomycetes; Hypocreales; Nectriaceae
Description: LSU rRNA
Rfam family: Eukaryotic large subunit ribosomal RNA
Source: RNAcentral